This 2902-nucleotide ribosomal RNA is filed under the name Klebsiella pneumoniae subsp. rhinoscleromatis SB3432. RNAcentral describes it as "LSU rRNA". It matches the Rfam family "Bacterial large subunit ribosomal RNA". Lineage: Bacteria; Pseudomonadati; Pseudomonadota; Gammaproteobacteria; Enterobacterales; Enterobacteriaceae. The record is from RNAcentral.
GGUUAAGCGACUAAGCGUACACGGUGGAUGCCCUGGCAGUCAGAGGCGAUGAAGGACGUGCUAAUCUGCGAAAAGCGUCGGUAAGGUGAUAUGAACCGUUAUAACCGGCGAUGUCCGAAUGGGGAAACCCAGUGCAAUUCGUUGCACUAUCGUUAACUGAAUACAUAGGUUAGCGAGGCGAACCGGGGGAACUGAAACAUCUAAGUACCCCGAGGAAAAGAAAUCAACCGAGAUUCCCCCAGUAGCGGCGAGCGAACGGGGAGCAGCCCAGAGUCUGAAUCAGCUUGUGUGUUAGUGGAACGGUCUGGAAAGUCCGACGGUACAGGGUGAUAGUCCCGUACACCAAAAUGCACAGGUUGUGAACUCGAAGAGUAGGGCGGGACACGUGGUAUCCUGUCUGAAUAUGGGGGGACCAUCCUCCAAGGCUAAAUACUCCUGACUGACCGAUAGUGAACCAGUACCGUGAGGGAAAGGCGAAAAGAACCCCGGCGAGGGGAGUGAAAAAGAACCUGAAACCGUGUACGUACAAGCAGUGGGAGCACCUUCGGGUGUGACUGCGUACCUUUUGUAUAAUGGGUCAGCGACUUAUAUUCUGUAGCAAGGUUAACCGUAUAGGGGAGCCGCAGGGAAACCGAGUCUUAACUGGGCGUUAAGUUGCAGGGUAUAGACCCGAAACCCGGUGAUCUAGCCAUGGGCAGGUUGAAGGUUGGGUAACACUAACUGGAGGACCGAACCGACUAAUGUUGAAAAAUUAGCGGAUGACUUGUGGCUGGGGGUGAAAGGCCAAUCAAACCGGGAGAUAGCUGGUUCUCCCCGAAAGCUAUUUAGGUAGCGCCUCGUGAACUCAUCUUCGGGGGUAGAGCACUGUUUCGGCUAGGGGGUCAUCCCGACUUACCAACCCGAUGCAAACUACGAAUACCGAAGAAUGUUAUCACGGGAGACACACGGCGGGUGCUAACGUCCGUCGUGAAGAGGGAAACAACCCAGACCGCCAGCUAAGGUCCCAAAGUCAUGGUUAAGUGGGAAACGAUGUGGGAAGGCACAGACAGCCAGGAUGUUGGCUUAGAAGCAGCCAUCAUUUAAAGAAAGCGUAAUAGCUCACUGGUCGAGUCGGCCUGCGCGGAAGAUGUAACGGGGCUAAACCAUGCACCGAAGCUGCGGCAGCGACACUAUGUGUUGUUGGGUAGGGGAGCGUUCUGUAAGCCUGCGAAGGUGACCUGUGAGGGUUGCUGGAGGUAUCAGAAGUGCGAAUGCUGACAUAAGUAACGAUAAAGCGGGUGAAAAGCCCGCUCGCCGGAAGACCAAGGGUUCCUGUCCAACGUUAAUCGGGGCAGGGUGAGUCGACCCCUAAGGCGAGGCCGAAAGGCGUAGUCGAUGGGAAACAGGUUAAUAUUCCUGUACUUGGUGUUACUGCGAAGGGGGGACGGAGAAGGCUAUGUUAGCCGGGCGACGGUUGUCCCGGUUUAAGCAUGUAGGCUGGUUGUCCAGGCAAAUCCGGAUAAUCAAGGCUGAGGUGUGAUGACGAGGCACUACGGUGCUGAAGUAACAAAUGCCCUGCUUCCAGGAAAAGCCUCUAAGCAUCAGGUAACAUUAAAUCGUACCCCAAACCGACACAGGUGGUCAGGUAGAGAAUACCAAGGCGCUUGAGAGAACUCGGGUGAAGGAACUAGGCAAAAUGGUGCCGUAACUUCGGGAGAAGGCACGCUGGUGUGUAGGUGAAGCCCCUGCGGGUGGAGCUGAGACCAGUCGAAGAUACCAGCUGGCUGCAACUGUUUAUUAAAAACACAGCACUGUGCAAACACGAAAGUGGACGUAUACGGUGUGACGCCUGCCCGGUGCCGGAAGGUUAAUUGAUGGGGUUAUCCGUAAGGAGAAGCUCUUGAUCGAAGCCCCGGUAAACGGCGGCCGUAACUAUAACGGUCCUAAGGUAGCGAAAUUCCUUGUCGGGUAAGUUCCGACCUGCACGAAUGGCGUAAUGAUGGCCAGGCUGUCUCCACCCGAGACUCAGUGAAAUUGAACUCGCUGUGAAGAUGCAGUGUACCCGCGGCAAGACGGAAAGACCCCGUGAACCUUUACUAUAGCUUGACACUGAACAUUGAGCCUUGAUGUGUAGGAUAGGUGGGAGGCUUUGAAGCGUGGACGCCAGUCUGCGUGGAGCCAACCUUGAAAUACCACCCUUUAAUGUUUGAUGUUCUAACGUUGGCCCCUUACCGGGGUUGCGGACAGUGUCUGGUGGGUAGUUUGACUGGGGCGGUCUCCUCCCAAAGCGUAACGGAGGAGCACGAAGGUUAGCUAAUCCUGGUCGGACAUCAGGAGGUUAGUGCAAUGGCAUAAGCUAGCUUGACUGCGAGCGUGACGGCGCGAGCAGGUGCGAAAGCAGGUCAUAGUGAUCCGGUGGUUCUGAAUGGAAGGGCCAUCGCUCAACGGAUAAAAGGUACUCCGGGGAUAACAGGCUGAUACCGCCCAAGAGUUCAUAUCGACGGCGGUGUUUGGCACCUCGAUGUCGGCUCAUCACAUCCUGGGGCUGAAGUAGGUCCCAAGGGUAUGGCUGUUCGCCAUUUAAAGUGGUACGCGAGCUGGGUUUAGAACGUCGUGAGACAGUUCGGUCCCUAUCUGCCGUGGGCGCUGGAGAAUUGAGGGGGGCUGCUCCUAGUACGAGAGGACCGGAGUGGACGCAUCACUGGUGUUCGGGUUGUCAUGCCAAUGGCACUGCCCGGUAGCUAAAUGCGGAAGAGAUAAGUGCUGAAAGCAUCUAAGCACGAAACUUGCCCCGAGAUGAGUUCUCCCUGAGACUUUAAGUCUCCUGAAGGAACGUUGAAGACGACGACGUUGAUAGGCCGGGUGUGUAAGCGCAGCGAUGCGUUGAGCUAACCGGUACUAAUGAACCGUGAGGCUUAACCUU